UCCCUGGCAGUCCAGUGGUUAGGAUUCCGUACUGUCGUUGCUGAGGGCGCAGGUUCAAUCCCUGGUUGGGGAA
Bos taurus (domestic cattle) is the source of this 73-nucleotide non-coding RNA. The record is from Rfam. NCBI's taxonomy places the organism in Eukaryota, Metazoa, Chordata, Mammalia, Artiodactyla, Bovidae.